GGAUCAAUGAUGAUACCAACUGUCUGAGGAAGUUGAAGGACUCAGAACAAAUGACUAUGUGAGGUCU
This is a small nucleolar RNA of Nannospalax galili (Upper Galilee mountains blind mole rat), 67 nucleotides long. RefSeq annotates it as small nucleolar RNA SNORD109A. The transcript has a single exon. NCBI's taxonomy places the organism in Eukaryota, Metazoa, Chordata, Mammalia, Rodentia, Spalacidae. The record is from RefSeq and is a predicted model, not a curated record.